RNAcentral lists this ribosomal RNA (460 nucleotides) under uncultured bacterium. RNAcentral's name for it is "partial 16S ribosomal RNA". It matches the Rfam family "Bacterial small subunit ribosomal RNA", at positions 338 to 795 of the family's 1533-position model. The record is from RNAcentral.
CCUACGGGUGGCAGCAGUGAGGAAUAUUGGUCAAUGGGCGCGAGCCUGAACCAGCCAAGUCGCGUGAGGGAUGACGGUCCUACGGAUUGUAAACCUCUUUUGCCGUGGAGCAAGCGUGCGUUCGUGAACGCACGUCGAGAGUACCCGGAGAAAAAGAAUCGGCUAACUCCUUUCCAGCAGCCGCGGUAAUACGGAGGAUGCGAGCGUUAUCCGGAUUUAUUGGGUUUAAAGGGUGCGUAGGCGGGAUGCCAAGUCAGCGGUAAAAAUGCGGUGCUCAACGCCGUCGAGCCGUUGAAACUGGCAGUCUUGAGUGGGCGAGAAGUAUGCGGAAUGCGUGGUGUAGCGGUGAAAUGCAUAGAUAUCACGCAGAACUCCGAUUGCGAAGGCAGCAUACCGGCGCCCUACUGACGCUGAGGCACGAAAGCGUGGGUAUCGAACAGGAUUAGAUACCCUGGUAGUC